RNAcentral lists this non-coding RNA (76 nucleotides) under human gut metagenome. The record is from RNAcentral. RNAcentral also lists the same sequence under 1 other name.
UAACGGGGUGCCGCAAGGCUGAGAUUAUACCCAUAAAACCUGAUCUGGAUAAUACCAGCGGAGGGAACUAUGAAAA